GAGAGAACCACCUCAGAAGGCAUAGAAGACUCUGCCCCUGCCCAUUUGGGAUGCUGAGGCAGGUGGAUUACCUGAGGUCAGGAGUUUGAGACCAGCCUGACCAACACGAUGAAACUCCACCUCUACUAAAUAUACAAAAAUUAGCCAGGCAUAGUGGUGGGCUCCUGUAAUCCUAGCAAUUUGGGAGGCUGAGGUGGGAAAAUUGCUUGAACCUGGGAAGCAGAGGUUGCAGUGAGCCGAGAUUGCUCCAUUGCACUCAAGCCUGGGCAACAAGAGUGAAACUAAGUCUCAAAAAAAAAAGAAGAUUCUGCACCGAGGAGUGUUUUUACCUUCUGAACCAGUUAUCCAGAGAGACCAAACGGCUUUAGUCACAGCAAAUCUGAGGACUUCUAGGUGCCCUCCUGAGUGCCCAGAACCAUAAAGAAUAGAAAGGUCAAGAGAAGAAUGCAUUUGCCAGACCAAUAGCUGCAUAUCAAGUGCCAGAGGAUGUGGUAAAUUGCUCAAGCAAUGAAACCGGUUCUGGUACCGGAGCUGCAAUUGGCAUCACCACCUGGAGAUUUACCAUAGAGUAUCACAGAGCUCUUCAAGGAUGCUGGGGCUCCCCUCACAAAAUUGUUUCUUACAGUCACAAUGCAAGGACUUUGCCAACAAUGUUGAACAGAGUGGUCUAAAGGAUGGGCUUUUGCCAUGUCACUCAGGCUGGUCUCAAACUCUUGGACUUAAGUUACCCACUUGUCUUAGCCCCCCAAAGCACUGGAAUUAGAGGCAUUAGCCACUGCACCUGGCCUGGUUAGUCUGUUUAAAAUUAGAACCUGAGCUCAUCUCAAGAAGUAUGCUUACCACUUUAGGGCAAAGCAAACAAUGAUUGUACAUAUUUUUCUUUGGUGGGCCAGAUGCCAUGCUGCUUUCUUCAUGAAGGCUUCCCUAUUCUCAGCCAAUGCCAGCUGCAGGAAACGAAGUAAUGUAAAGCCAAACUGAGACGAGUUUAUGGCUGGUACUAAAAGAAAAGAAUAAAAGCAUCUCAUUUGGCAGUCUUCUGUAGCCUAGUAAAGGCUUCUGAUAUAGUUGGUACCAAGACAACCCCAUUUAUCCCAGACAAGACUACUCAGCUUUAAGAAAAGUGCAGACUCAGCUGGGAAGAGGAAUUACUGCCAAGGCAGAAGUGCAUUGGCUCCGGCUCUUAGUGUGUUCUCCUGUGACUCCUCCAAACAACUUGCCCUGAAUCCAGUCCAGAUCAAAUGACUGUCAGCACUCAAACCUGUACUGAAGCUGCAUACUGGCCACUGCUGCUCGCAUGUUACCUAAACAUCUCAGACUCAACGUGUUGCAAAUACAACUGCAUCCCACAAAUAAUUUCCUUCUUUUAUAUCUUCUGUCUCCAUGAAUAUGUUAAAAUUUCUCCAAUGUCCAAGGCCAGAAACUGGAUAAUUAUUCAUUUUUGACUCUCAUCCUUCUUCCCUUUUUUAUCCAACUGGCGAAAUCACGCCAGUUCUGUCUUCUGAAUGCCUCUUUCACUUACCCUGGCUCCUUCGUUUGUUAUCCUUGGUCUUCGUCAUUCCCUAUCUGUCAAUGGCAGUUGUGUAAUCAAGUUUUUGUUCUCAAGUUCUCUGAUUCAUUCUGCAGUCUAUUGUUCAACUUAUUUUUCAGAAAUGUAAAUCUGAUCCUGUUUCUUGCCAGUUUUCAAAGAAACUCAAUCAAUUUUAAGAAGAAAAAAAAAACUGGCUGUCCAGCUUCUACUUUCACUACCUGGCCACCCAUGAACCUCCAUAUAGCAUGAACAGUUACUUUUAAAAAAUAUUUUUGAAGCAUAAUUUACACACAAUAAAAUACAGAUACUAUGUGUGUGUUCAUGUGUUUUGAUAAAUGAAUAUGUUUGUGAAACCAUUAUCUAGUUAACAUUUAACACAUCAGUCAUCUUUUUUGUAAAAUAUAAACCUUCUUAUGUUUCUUGUUACUCUCAAAAGUGUUUCAUCACAGAAUGAAAUUCUAUUCCCAUUCUUGAAACUGCCUUUGCACAAUUAUGAUUGAGACAGUGAAAGAUCUAAUUUACCCAACUCCAUCUUGCUUCUAACCUCCAAGCUGUCCUUGUUCAUUCCUUGGCCACAGGCUGAACUAACUUUGGGAGAAACUUAGUUUGUAGUUCAAACAAAGAUGGUAAUAGCCUUUUGCCAUUGCAGAUCUUCUUCUUGCCUGUGGACUAUACUGCCUUUGUAGGACUAACAUUAGCCACAAGAUUAGAAAUUAUAGUUUAGGAGUCAGGCAGCUGGAGGCUACAAAAUUCUGACCCUCCCUAAACUGCUUCUAAGAUCAGUGCUUGAGAUAUUUUGCAGACCCUGCACUUGAUGGAUCAGCUGGCACCCCCCAAGAUCAAUAAACUGGCUCAUAUAAUCUUGUGGCCCCAACCCAGGAACUGACUCAGUGUAAGAAGACAGCUUUGACUCCCUAUACUCCUGCACAGCCACAUAUGCAUGAAUUACUCUUUCUCUGUUGCAAUUCCCCUGUCUUGAUGAAUUGACUCUAUCCAGGCAGUGGGUAAGGUGAAACCCUUGGGUUGUUACAUUCUUAUUUAUAUAAUUACAUAGGUAGGACCCUGCCCAACUCUCUGACCUUUUCUCCUACAAAUCUACCCCUCAUUCAUACAGCCCAUCUCUAUGCUCUUUUCUAGUUGUCUCCAGUUCAUCUCUGCCUUUGCCUAGAACACUUUCAUGGCUUUCUGCCUAACUUCUGUCAACCUUAAAUAAUGAGAUUCAGAAAAUAUUAUUAAGUAUAGAGUGUAUUUCAGUGAAAAGUGUGAGGAUAGCCACCCAGGAAGCACUGACUCCAAAUAAAUGGGGUCAGUGCUCCUAGGUAGGGAGGUUAAGAUUUUAUUUACAAAAGGGAGAGACAGAGAAGUUGCAGCAGAAUUACAUUUUUCAUACAAAUGCAUGCAUUAUAGAAAUUUGAUUGGUUGCAGAUUGUUGAUUCCAAGGAAGAUUAUUUUAAUACUCUAUGAGGAGGGAUAAUGACAGAGUGGGUCUUAUCUCUGUUACUGUUUGGUCUUCCUAAUAACUUAUAAAAGAAAAAAGAAAGGGCAGAAAGAAGAAGCUACAGCUACAUGCCUCAUCACACAAGCCAUAUAGCCAGAUUCCUUUCAAGGCUCAAAAUAACAUAAAAUUUCAACAGCUUUAAAUUUGAAUUAUUUUAUUUCUUUUUUUUUUCUGACAGAGUUUCACUGUCAUUACUUAGGCUGAAGUGCAAUGGCGCGAUCUCGGCUCACCGCAACCUCUACCUCCUGGGUUCAAGCAAAUCUCCUACCUCAGCCUCCCAAGUAGCUGGGACUAUAGGCAUGCACCACCAUGCCCAGCUAAUUUUUGUAUUUUUAGUAGAGAUGGAGUUUCACUAUGUUGACCGGGAUGGUCUCGAUCUCUUGACCUAGUGAUCCACCCGCCUCGGCCUCCCAAAAUGCUGGGAUUAUAGGCAUGAGCCACCACACCUGGCCCGAAUUAUUUUAUUUCACAUUUCCUUCAGGUUUGUUCAAAUGUCCUUUCUUACAGCCCAAUAG
Non-coding RNA from Callithrix jacchus (white-tufted-ear marmoset), 3541 nucleotides. Lineage: Eukaryota; Metazoa; Chordata; Mammalia; Primates; Cebidae. The record is from RefSeq and is a predicted model, not a curated record.